RNAcentral lists this unclassified non-coding RNA (279 nucleotides) under plant metagenome. RNAcentral describes it as "partial contains small subunit ribosomal RNA, internal transcribed spacer 1, and 5.8S ribosomal RNA". The record is from RNAcentral.
UUUCCGUAGGUGAACCUGCGGAAGGAUCAUUAUUGAAUAACCAAUGUCCGAGGGCUCUCGCUCAUCCGGAAGGGCCGGUACGCCCGAGUGCCCUCUCACACAUCCCUCUCACCCCUAUGUGCACCACCCCGUUUUUCUCCCUAUGCCUUUUUCGGUGGUGGGCUUACUUAUUUACACCUUCUUUCUACGGAUUGUUGAAUUUAUUUUUUGUUUUAGCGAUCACGCAAUCAAUACAACUCUCAACAACGCAUCUCUUGCCUCUCGCCUCGAUGAAUAACG